CAGUAGCCGCGGUAAUACGUAGGGUGCAAGCGUUAAUCGGAAUUACUGGGCGUAAAGCGUGCGCAGGCGGUUUUGUAAGACAGAGGUGAAAUCCCCGGGCUCAACCUGGGAACUGCCUUUGUGACUGCAAGGCUAGAGUACGGCAGAGGGGGAUGGAAUUCCGCGUGUAGCAGUGAAAUGCGUAGAUAUGCGGAGGAACACCGAUGGCGAAGGCAAUCCCCUGGGCCUGUACUGACGCUCAUGCACGAAAGCGUGGGGAGCAAACAGGAUUAGAGACCCCCGUAGUCCCUGUCUCUUAUAC
RNAcentral lists this ribosomal RNA (301 nucleotides) under uncultured bacterium. Its description in RNAcentral is "partial 16S ribosomal RNA". It matches the Rfam family "Bacterial small subunit ribosomal RNA", at positions 509 to 807 of the family's 1533-position model. The record is from RNAcentral.